AGUCACUUGUCUGCUGGGCUUCCUUUCUGGGGUGCUGGCAAGUGCAGCCAGCACCAGCAUCUUGACAAACAGGCGGCAGCCGGACAGCAGGGGAGGCGAGGGUCAGGCAGAGAAGGUGACACAGCAAGUGACUCGCAGCCCCAUCAGGAACCGUCACAGGAGGUGAUUAAUCUGUGGAGGAGCAGCCCUGGGAGUCAUCACUGACUCAAGCGGGAGCUGCCUCAUGGCUGCUCUGUUCCCUGCCUCACCUGCCUGCUCGCAGGCUGCUUGAAAAGUUCUAGGCUUUGGGCCUGAAUUCUGGACCCAGUCUACAUGCAGAACAUCCCACAAGAGCUUCCCAUUAAGAGGACUUAACCACCAGAUUGGGAACCAGGUAACCGAGAUCCCAAUUCUUGCACCUGCUGGUGGGAGGAGCCUGACCGCCUGUGAAGCAUCCUUCUUCUCUGCUCUCAGAGGCCCAGUUCUCCCAAAGCCCUGCUCCUCAUACAAGUCCCAGCCUCUGCCAGCCACAGAGCAACAGACAACCCUUCUGGGAAGCUUCCUCCCCACUUAACAUGCGUGGGGUGCAGCCUCUUGCCAUUUAAUGCAUGGACAACAAUCAGCAUACAGAUUGAACUGCUG
RNAcentral lists this long non-coding RNA (621 nucleotides) under Sus scrofa (pig). RNAcentral describes it as "lncRNA (ENSSSCG00070022818.1)". The record is from RNAcentral. Lineage: Eukaryota; Metazoa; Chordata; Mammalia; Artiodactyla; Suidae.